AUUGAACGCUGGCGGCAGGCCUAACACAUGCAGUCGAGCGGAUGAAGGGAGCUUGCUCCUGGAUUCAGCGGCGGACGGGUGGGUAAUGCCUAGGAAUCUGCCUGGUAGUGGGGGAUAACGUCCGUAAACGGGCGCUAAUACCGCAUACGUCCUGAGGGAGAAAGAGGGGGAUCUUCGGACCUCACGCUAUCCGAUGAGCCUAGUUCGGAUUAGCUAGUUGGUGGGGUAAAGGCCUACCAAGGCGACGAUCCGUAACUGGUCUGAGAGGAUGAUCAGUCACCCUGGAACUGAGCCACGGUCCAGACUCCUAGGGGAGGCAGCAGUGGGGAAUAUUGGGCAAUGGGGGAGAGCCUGAUCCAGGCAUGCCGCGUGUGUGAAGAAGGUCUUCGGAUUGUAAAGCACUUUAAGUUGGGAGGAAGGGCAGUAAGUUAAUACCUUGCUGUUUUGACGUUACCAACAGAAUAAGCACCGGCUAACUUCGUGC
Molecule: ribosomal RNA, 484 nt
Filed under: uncultured bacterium
Lineage: Bacteria
Description: partial 16S ribosomal RNA
Rfam family: Bacterial small subunit ribosomal RNA
Source: RNAcentral